UACUAUGAAUGAAUAAAAAUUUAAAACUCAAAGGACUUGGCGGUGUCUUAGACCAUUUAGGGGAACCUGUCUCGUAAUCGACAGUCCACGUUACACCUGACCUUUUUUUGUAAAGCAGUUUGUAUACCGUUGUCGUCAGGUAACUUUUUAGAAAAAUGAAGUUAGCAAUAUAAAUAAAUUAUUUGGGACGUCAAAUCAAGGUGCAGCUAAUGGAAAGGAGAGGAUGGGUUACAAUUAUUUAAUUUAUAAUUUUACGGAUAUAGUUAUAGAAAAAUUCUAUGUAAGGAGGACUUAAAAGUAAAUUGAUAUAUAAAAACAAUUUGAAUGAGGCUCUGAGACGUGU
This 343-nucleotide ribosomal RNA is filed under the name Hastula albula. Its description in RNAcentral is "partial 12S ribosomal RNA". Lineage: Eukaryota; Metazoa; Mollusca; Gastropoda; Neogastropoda; Terebridae. The record is from RNAcentral.